UACGAGUGGUGCGAGCGUUAUUCGGAAUUAUUGGGCGUACAGGGUGCGCAGGCGGUAUAUUAAGUCAAUUGUUAAAGACCUCGGCCUAACCGAGGAACAGCGGUAGAUACUGAUAUGCUAGAGGGUGGAAGAGAGAAGUGGAAUUCUUGGAGUAGCGGUAAAGUGCGUAGAUCUCGAGAGGAACACCGAUGGCGAAGGCAGCUUCUUGGUCCACAUCUGACGCUGAGUGCACGAAAGCGUGGGGAGCAAACAGG
RNAcentral lists this ribosomal RNA (254 nucleotides) under uncultured bacterium. RNAcentral's name for it is "partial 16S ribosomal RNA". It matches the Rfam family "Bacterial small subunit ribosomal RNA", at positions 524 to 776 of the family's 1533-position model. The record is from RNAcentral.